RNAcentral lists this ribosomal RNA (645 nucleotides) under uncultured Actinomycetes bacterium. Its description in RNAcentral is "bacterial SSU rRNA". It matches the Rfam family "Bacterial small subunit ribosomal RNA", at positions 60 to 699 of the family's 1533-position model. Lineage: Bacteria; Bacillati; Actinomycetota; Actinomycetes. The record is from RNAcentral.
AGUCGAGCGGUAAGGCCACUUCGGUGGUACACGAGCGGCGAACGGGUGAGUAACACGUGAGCAACCUGCCCUUCUCUUUGGAAUAAGCGUUGGAAACGACGUCUAAUGCCGAAUAUGACCUCUUUUCGCAUGAUUUGAGGUGGAAAGCUCCGGCGGAGAGGGAUGGGCUCGCGGCCUAUCAGCUAGUUGGUGUGGGUAAUGGCCCACCAAGGCGACGACGGGUAGCCGGCCUGAGAGGGUGACCGGCCACACUGGGACUGAGACACGGCCCAGACUCCUACGGGAGGCAGCAGUGGGGAAUAUUGGACAAUGGGCGAAAGCCUGAUCCAGCCAUGCCGCGUGUGUGAAGAAGGUCUUCGGAUUGUAGAGCACUUUAAGUUGGGAGGAAGGGCAGUAAAUUAAUACUUUGCUGUUUUGACGUUACCGACAGAAUAAGCACCGGCUAACUCUGUGCCAGCAGCCGCGGUAAUACAGAGGGUGCAAGCGUUAUCCGGAAUUAUUGGGCGUAAAGAGCUCGUAGGCGGUUUGUCGCGUCUGCUGUGAAAGACCGGGGCUCAACUCCGGUUCUGCAGUGGGUACGGGCAGACUAGAGUGCAGUAGGGGAGACUGGAAUUCCUGGUGUAGCGGUGAAAUGCGCAGAUAUCA